Molecule: ribosomal RNA, 492 nt
Filed under: uncultured bacterium
Lineage: Bacteria
Description: partial 16S ribosomal RNA
Rfam family: Bacterial small subunit ribosomal RNA
Source: RNAcentral
AGUGAACGCUGGCGGUAGGCCUAACACAUGCAAGUCGAACGGAAGCACAGUAAGAGCUUGCUCUUACGGGUGGCGAGUGGCGGACGGGUGAGGAAUACAUCGGAAUCUACCUUUUCGUGGGGGAUAACGUAGGGAAACUUACGCUAAUACCGCAUACGACCUACGGGUGAAAGCAGGGGAUCUUCGGACCUUGCGCGAUUGAAUGAGCCGAUGUCGGAUUAGCUAGUUGGCGGGGUAAAGGCACACCAAGGCGACGAUCCGUAGCUGGUCUGAGAGGAUGAUCAGCCACACUGGAACUGAGACACGGUCCAGACUCCUACGGGAGGCAGCAGUGGGGAAUAUUGGACAAUGGGCGCAAGCCUGAUCCAGCCAUACCGCGUGGGUGAAGAAGGCCUUCGGGUUGUAAAGCCCUUUUGUUGGGAAAGAAAAGCAGCAGGUUAAUACCCCGCUGUUCUGACGGUACCCAAAGAAUAAGCACCGGCUAACUUCGUG